GUUCCAAAUCUAUGCAGGUAUGGUGCGUUCAAGUUAUGUCGGAUAGAUCAUAUUUACGAGUUGAACGCACAUGAACGCCACCACAAAGUCGUUAUUACGA
Molecule: long non-coding RNA, 100 nt
Organism: Sinocyclocheilus rhinocerous
Lineage: Eukaryota; Metazoa; Chordata; Actinopteri; Cypriniformes; Cyprinidae
Exons: 3
Source: RefSeq, a predicted model, not a curated record